This 722-nucleotide ribosomal RNA is filed under the name uncultured Microgenomates group bacterium. RNAcentral's name for it is "bacterial SSU rRNA". It matches the Rfam family "Bacterial small subunit ribosomal RNA", at positions 578 to 1311 of the family's 1533-position model. The record is from RNAcentral.
GUUUAUUAAGUUGGGGGUGAAAUCUCCGGGCUCAACCCGGAGCUCGUUCUCAAAACUGGUAGACUUGAGUAAGGUAGAGGCUGACGGAAUUCUGCAAGUAGGGGUAAAAUCCGUUGAUCUGCAGAGGAACACCAAAAGCGAAGGCAGUCAGCUGGGCCUUUACUGACGCUGAGGGACGAAAGCGUGGGUAGCGAACGGGAUUAGAUACCCCGGUAGUCCACGCCGUAAAUGAUGGAUACUGGACAUUGGUACUCGAUCGUAUCAGUGUCUCAAGCUAACGCAUUAAGUAUCCCGCCUGGGGAGUACGGUCGCAAGAUUAAAACUCAAAGGAAUAGACGGGGACCCACACAAGCGGUGGAGCAUGUGGUUUAAUUCGACAAUAAGCGAGGAACCUUACCAGGGCUUGACAUCCCGAGAAUUCUUUAGAAAUAGAGAAGUGCCUUUAUGGAACUCGGUGACAGGUGCUGCAUGGUUGUCGUGCAGCUCGUGCCUUGAGGUGUUCGGUUAAGUCCGUAAACGAGCGCAACCCUAGUCCUAUGUUGUAUAUUUCAUAGGAGACUGCCUUGUCCAACGAGGAGGAAGGUUAGGAUGACGUCAAAUCAGCAUGGCCCUUAUGUCCUGGGCGACACACGUGCUACAAUGGUCGGUACAAUGGGUAGCCAACCCGCGAGGGGGAGCCAAUCCCAUCAAAGCCGGUCCAAGUUCGGAUUGGAGGCUGCAAC